This is a long non-coding RNA of Solanum pennellii, 2174 nucleotides long. RefSeq lists it as uncharacterized. Lineage: Eukaryota; Viridiplantae; Streptophyta; Magnoliopsida; Solanales; Solanaceae. The record is from RefSeq and is a predicted model, not a curated record. The transcript has 3 exons.
UUUCUUCUUCUCAACUUUUCUUCUUCCCCAUACAUCGAUUCCAUCAGUAUUCUCUGGUCAUCAUAUCAUCGUCUCCCGCCUCUCUUCCCCAUACACUUCUUAAAAUGUUUCAAGAGAAACCAGAGAAAUCAUUUGUUUCUUCUUCCCAUAUCAUUGCUUCUCUUCCACAUACAUUUCAAAUGUUUCAUAGUCCAUUAAACAAACAUUUCAACUAUUUAAUUGUUUUAAACAUCAAAUCUUCAUCUGUUUCUUGUUCUCCGAGUUCGAAGCUUUCAUCUUUGGUAAGUUCAUUUUAGUUUAAUGGUUGUUUUUUUGGUUAUAUUAGUCGUAUUUUGUUGUUUAUUUUGUUAUAGUAAUGUAAUAAACCCUUUUUUUUAUAUGAUUUUUCUGCAUGUUCUUGUUUUGGAUGCCGUAUUUGAUUUUUUUUAUUUUGUUAUAGUAGUGUAAUUAACUCUUUUUCUGGAUGAUUUUAUUUCAUGUUCUUGUUUAGAAUGCCGUGUUUAGUUUUUAAUUUUGUUAUAGUAGUUUAAUGAACCUCUGGAUGAUUUUUCUUCAUGUUGUUUAGGAUGAAUAUUUGUGGUCUCUAAUAAAUUUUUGUUUGAAUAUGAAUAUUUGAUCCUUUUUUGGGAUAAUUUGGUUACUUUUUUAAAAAGCUAAUUUCUGUUUAUCUCGCCUAUUGAUUUUGGAAUUUUGGCUUUUGUUGUGAAUUGUUGUUUUCUCCAUUAUAUCUGUUUACUUUUGCUGGUCUUAUUUUGCUCAUUACAUGUGUUUGUUACACAAAGUCCAAGUGUAGUAUUUUUUUCUUUCUCUCUUUGUUAGACUGUUAUUUACAUUAGUAUUGUAUGUUUACUCUGGUUAUGGCUAAAACUAGAUGUGACCUUGUUAAAAAAUCUAUUCCUAAGCCUUGUAAAAAAAAGAAAAAGAAGGGCUCAACUUCAAGUUUCAAGGUGUUCAAAAAAGAAAACAUUAAUUGUUGAAGAACCCAAGUAUGAUUCGAAUUGUGAUACGAUGGAUGAAAUAGACAACUAUGAGGAGAGUCUUGAUGAGGUUGAGUCUAGUGAAGAGAUCAGUGGAAACGAGUUUACAAAUGGAGAUAGCCGAAAUGCUGGAGAUGAGGAUGAUGAUCUUCUAUCCUUGCCAACUUGUGUAGCAGAAAUCUCAGGGAAGUCCUAUAAUCUUACACAUGCAUCAAUGAGUUAGGAUCUUUUUCAACAAAGAUUUCGAUGGCACACGGCAAAGAGCGAUAGCAUUGUCGAAGGUGGUCCAUUUAAGUACACAAAGGUUGUGCAUCCAUCCCUAGAACCUACUAUCCAUGAGAAGAUAUAGAAUUAUAUGGCAACAUUAAAGCCAUAUACAGACGAAGUGAAGGACAUAAUUAGUGAUACCUUAAAGGCCAGUUUGAAAGGUGUCAGUGCGCUCACUUCUGCAGUAGGUCAUGUGGAGGAUGAGUAUUCAAACAAACACAUUCCUAAUCAACCUGGGGAGAAUUCUAUAUUAAGUGCUUCUAAAGAUGGAAGUCUGGAUGAACGUGUUGCAUCCCUCAAGCAACCAAUGGUGAAAAUCGUUGCUUUUGUACGAGAGGAGAAGUUGAGAAGAAAUGAAAGAAAAAAAAAAGGAAAAGUAAAUAAAUUUAUAUACUUCUUAAUUAUGUAAUAUAAUGUAUUUGUAUUAAUUUUUAGCCGCUGAUCUUGCAAUAUAUGAUGACAACUUUUCAUCACCGACAGUGGAUGACAAUAUCCUUCCAUUAGCUGUAGUGGAUGAUGAUCUUGCUGCAUUUGAUGCAUACUUUGUUAAAGAAGUUGAUGAAGAGGAGAUGAGGGGACGAUGGAAGAGAACAAUGAAGAAAAUGAAGAAAAGAAACUAGAAGAAAAUGAAGCAAAUGGAGAAGAAUAGAAAGAACAACAAGAAGAGAAGAUAACAGAGAAUGCAGAAGAGGAAAAGCUUGAAGAAUAAGGGUUGGUCACUGAAGUGGAAAUAGAUAUGAUGGGUAUUGUGAUGGAGCUUAGUGGUCAGGUUGAUGGUGAUUAAGGGCAGUUGUGAUUUUUGGAAUGGUUAUUCCCUAGUAUUUUAAGACAAUUUGUGAAGUUAUCGAUAUUUUAAGACAAUUGAUUUUUGUGAUAGUUGGGUUGUUCCCUGGUUUGAAGACAUGUUUAUUGAUAUGAUUUUUUAAGACA